RNAcentral lists this long non-coding RNA (1060 nucleotides) under Pogona vitticeps (central bearded dragon). RNAcentral's name for it is "lncRNA (ENSPVIG00000002056.1)". The record is from RNAcentral. Lineage: Eukaryota; Metazoa; Chordata; Lepidosauria; Squamata; Agamidae.
UGCAAUGUCCGCAAGACCAAGCUGUUGAGGAAACUUUCCCGGUUUAUGGAGGCAAGAAUGAUUUCUUAGUUGUUUUUCAAGGAAAAUUAUGUUUCACAUUUGUACCUUCCAGAAAACAGACUGAACUGAGAUCUCUCAAAUAGUCUUUUUUAAAUAUCAGAAAGAAAAAUAUAUGGCAAAUGGCUGAAACAAUGGACAGAUUGUUUAUAACUUGUCGGGUGACAAUAAUGUGUAAAAUGUCUGCCCUGAAGGUAUUUUUGUAUGUGAAUUCUCCAGCAAAACAUGAGUCAGUGGGACUAAAAUGUCCUAUCUAGGUAGUUAAGGGUUGGUUUUUCUAUACCAGGAUAGAAUUUUUUAUCAUGAUAGUGUCACAUUUUGUUGCAGAAGCCACACAAAACAAAACCUACAAUGAAAGCACUGAAUAGAUCUCAACAGUUUCCCCAAAUUCAAGAAUUGUUGAAGCAGAGGGAUUUUUCACUGACAAUAUGUCACAACUGAAUGCAAUGCAAGGUCAACAAAGUAUGAAGGUUAAUACAUCAAUGAGGAUUAAUUGUCAUUCUGCCUUUCCCUAAAUUAUUUCUCUGUUACAGGCUCAUCUUAUAUCCGCCCUAGUCCAUUUCCACCCUAUUCAUCUCUUCUGCAAACUCAUACACUUUUCAUGCAGCAGAUUCUGCUUCUAUACUGUGCGUGGAUCACCUCUGGCAUCCAUGGCAGACUGUCCGCUCUUGCCCAGCACCCAUGGGGAACCCAUCAGAAUUGCCUUCUGUCAAGUCUCAGGUGGGGUCCGAGGCCAGUUGGUUGGUCCAGACCCAGAAAUAAAAGGUGAAUAAUAAGAGCAACGUAGGCAAGGAAGCAGGGGCAGAUCUCUGUAUCCAGCCAGCAAGCAUAAAGCUGGGGGCGGGUGACAAAUAGUCCAGCAACAUGGAGAAUUUGGAGGCAACUGAGGGUGAUGGGUCAGAAUCAGGCCCUACUGACUCUGAGGAUGAGGACACCUGAGGAGAUACAGUGGAGGAGCAGGAAGAGGCCUUGCCCAGGAAUCUACGAUUAUAUCCUUGUUGAA